This 892-nucleotide ribosomal RNA is filed under the name Amesomyces cymbiformis. RNAcentral describes it as "LSU rRNA". It matches the Rfam family "Eukaryotic large subunit ribosomal RNA", at positions 38 to 964 of the family's 3401-position model. The record is from RNAcentral. Lineage: Eukaryota; Fungi; Ascomycota; Sordariomycetes; Sordariales; Chaetomiaceae.
GCAUAUCAAUAAGCGGAGGAAAAGAAACCAACAGGGAUUGCCCUAGUAACGGCGAGUGAAGCGGCAACAGCUCAAAUUUGAAAUCUGGCUUCGGCCCGAGUUGUAAUUUGCAGAGGAAGCUUUAGGCGCGGCACCUUCUGAGUCCCCUGGAACGGGGCGCCAUAGAGGGUGAGAGCCCCGUAUAGUUGGAUGCCUAGCCUGUGUAAAGCUCCUUCGACGAGUCGAGUAGUUUGGGAAUGCUGCUCAAAAUGGGAGGUAAAUUUCUUCUAAAGCUAAAUACCGGCCAGAGACCGAUAGCGCACAAGUAGAGUGAUCGAAAGAUGAAAAGCACUUUGAAAAGAGGGUUAAAUAGCACGUGAAAUUGUUGAAAGGGAAGCGCUUGUGACCAGACUUGCGCCGGGCUGAUCAUCCGGUGUUCUCACCGGUGCACUCUGCCCGGCUCAGGCCAGCAUCGGUUCUCGCGGGGGGAUAAAGGCCCAGGGAAUGUAGCUCCUCCGGGAGUGUUAUAGCCCGGGGCGGAAUGCCCUCGCGGGGACCGAGGUUCGCGCUCUGCAAGGAUGCUGGCGUAAUGGUCAUCAGCGACCCGUCUUGAAACACGGACCAAGGAGUCAAGGUUUUGCGCGAGUGUUUGGGUGUAAAACCCGCACGCGUAAUGAAAGUGAACGUAGGUGAGAGCUUCGGCGCAUCAUCGACCGAUCCUGAUGUUUUCGGAUGGAUUUGAGUAAGAGCGUUAAGCCUUGGACCCGAAAGAUGGUGAACUAUGCUUGGAUAGGGUGAAGCCAGAGGAAACUCUGGUGGAGGCUCGCAGCGGUUCUGACGUGCAAAUCGAUCGUCAAAUCUGAGCAUGGGGGCGAAAGACUAAUCGAACCAUCUAGUAGCUGGUUACCGCCGA